UACAGAGGUCUCAAGCGUUGUUCGGAUUCAUUGGGCGUAAAGAGCGUGUAGGCGGCUUGGUAGGUCCGCUGUGAAAACUCGAGGCUCAACCUCGAGAUGUCGGCGGAAACCACUUGGCUAGAGUCCGGAAGAGGAGAGUGGAAUUCCUGGUGUAGCGGUGAAAUGCGCAGAUAUCAGGAAGAACACCUAUGGCGAAGGCAGCUCUCUGGGACGGUACUGACGCUGAGACGCGAAAGCGUGGGGAGCGAACAGG
RNAcentral lists this ribosomal RNA (253 nucleotides) under uncultured bacterium. RNAcentral describes it as "partial 16S ribosomal RNA". It matches the Rfam family "Bacterial small subunit ribosomal RNA", at positions 524 to 776 of the family's 1533-position model. The record is from RNAcentral.